Long non-coding RNA from Setaria italica (foxtail millet), 1970 nucleotides. RefSeq lists it as uncharacterized. The record is from RefSeq and is a predicted model, not a curated record. The transcript is spliced from 4 exons. Lineage: Eukaryota; Viridiplantae; Streptophyta; Magnoliopsida; Poales; Poaceae.
AGGAUGCAAAAUUUAUUGCACGAGAACAGUGGUUUGUGGCUGGGAAUCGUCAUGGUUUCAUUCAUGUGUUCAGUUAUAAUACAAAGGAGGAAACCAAAAGUUUUAAAGCUCGUGACUUCAGUGUCAUUUGUUUGGACAUCUAUCCAACUAUGCCAUACAUGUCAGCAGGCCAUGACCAUCUGAUUAAGCUGUGGAACUGGGGGAAAGACUGGAAAUGUGUUGGGAAAAUUGAUGUGCAGAUACAGUCAGCAGGCCAUAACAAUCUGAUCAAUCUUAUGCGCCAAGUCAAGUUUAACCCAAAGGAUGCCAAUAAUUUUGCUUGUGCUUACAUAGAUGGAUUCUUACAGAUUGGAGGGCAUACUAAACUUUGGGCUCGGAAUGGUUAGUGCCAUAGCAUGUUUGAAGGGUACAGGAAGGACAGGCUGGAGAUGAGAAAGACAAUGGUAGUGCACGCCACUUGAUAAAAUUCUGGAUGAGUUCCAAAUUUGGGGUUCGGUGCCUAUCUGUGCUUCUACCCAAUGCCGGGUUUAUGUUAUUGAAUUCAUAUUUGAAGUAAAGGAAAGAGUAAAUUGCACCCAUCAUACAACAACUUAUCAGGUGGAUGCUGAUUGGUCCAACAACUUUUGCAGAUUGAGCCAACAACUUGUAAAAUGCUCAGUCUAAUACAAUAACUUGACAGGUGGGUGCAGAUUGAUCAAACAACUUGUAAAUAUUCAAUUUAGUGCCACAACUUGAUAAAUUGGUGUAUUCGCAAGAGAAAUAUUAUAAGGAAAAAGUGUAUUUUCAUCCCUCAAGUAUUGUAAAAGUGUGACAUUCAUCCCUCAUGUUUAGUUACUUAAGGGGUUGAUGUUCACCAAAUGAAACAUGAGGGAUGAAUAUUACACUUUUGCAAUAUUUGAGGGAUGAAAAAACACUUUUUUAUAUGAUAACAAGCAACAACUUGUCAGGUGGGUGCAGAUUGGUCCAACAAUUUGUAAAAUGCUCAAUUUAAUACAAUAAUUUAACAGGUGGGUGCAUGUUGGUCCAACAACUUAUAAAAUACUUAAUUUUCAAUAAUAACUUCGCAAUUUGGUGCACUUACAGUCCGAACGUUACAAUGAUAACGUGUUAAGCAAAAUAGAUGGACAUGCGAAUUUUCUUUCAGUCAAUAAUUCUUUAUUUUCUUUAAUAAAAGUUGUUGAUCAUGAUCAGUCUAUUCCUUCUUAACUUAUUUGUUUAUUAGUAAAAAUUGAAUAAUAUUUGAGAAUUAGGCCAUUGGCAUUACCGAAAGACUAAAGUACAAAAUAGGGAUCUUGAGACCAUAGGUUUUUUUCUGCACUUCUUCUUAUGUAUUCAACAUUUGUAUACAAGCAUGUUUGUCAAUAUUCAUUUAGGUCAUUUUUCCUUUCUAAACAAGUACACGAGGCUUUAAAAUUUUUAUGCCAAACUUCUAAAAGGUAUUGUUAGUAUGUAUUAAUAUGUAGGUUCUUUUGUGUAGCUGAAAAAUGCAUAUAAUAAAACAUGUAGAAAACAGUCAGGUGAACUUAUCAAUAUUGAAUAUGGAAUUAAAUAGUCCUAAUCAAGAUUAAAUCAUUGUAUAAAAACAAUUAAUAUGAAGACAUAAUAUUAAUUUUCUAAAUACUAAAGGUUCUAUCUCGGCUAAACACAUUACCAUUGCGAAGUGAAUAUCAAUGGUCGAAUAAUGCUCAAUAAUUUGUUCAGAUGCGAAUAUAUACCUGACCAACUAUUAGCAAAAAUGUUGCUUGUUAUAAUAUUCAUCUUGCAGAUGCACUAAUUUAUCAAGUUGUUGUACUAAAUUGAAUAUUUUACAAGUUGUUGGACCAAUCCGCACCCAGUUGUCAAGUUAUCAUAUAAGACUGAGCAUUUUACAAGUAGUUGGAUCAAUCAACAACCAUUGUCAAGUUAUUGUAUUAGACCGAGCAUGUUACACGUUGUUGGACUAAUCUGCACCCACCUAAUAAGUUGCUAAA